This 444-nucleotide long non-coding RNA is filed under the name Equus caballus (horse). RNAcentral's name for it is "lncRNA (ENSECAG00000049415.1)". Lineage: Eukaryota; Metazoa; Chordata; Mammalia; Perissodactyla; Equidae. The record is from RNAcentral.
CGGGAGGGAAAGCAGGCAGGGUCACGGAGUCACAGCGUCUCCAGAAGGAGGAGGCGUGGGCCCUCCCAUCACGUCUCUCCCAGCAGAGAAGCAGUCAUUACACGUGGCACCAUGGAGGCAUUAGCGACCUUGACAAGCCAGAGAGCAUUAGCAGGUGAGAGCUCACUUCGCAAACUUGAUGCGGAUGACAGCGCGGAGGGAGCAAGAGGGAGAUGCCGGCUGCAGAGGACGGAAUCGGAGGGCAGAACGGGGCUCGACCUUUGAGGAAGCAGGAGCGUGACGCUAGGAGGCUUGGGGGGUGACAAGAAGACAGAACUUGUACUCUUCCUCAGAAGAAUUCUGCUGAACAAAAAUGUCCUCCUCACGUUUCACAGGUAUUAUCAUCCCUGUCUUACAGAUGAAGAAACAGAGGCACAGAGAAGGUAAGCAACUUCUCAGGGGUCA